CGCGGGGUGGAGCAGUCGGUAGCUCGCGAGGCUCAUAACCUUGAGGUCGUAGGUUCAAGUCCUGCCCCCGCAA
RNAcentral lists this transfer RNA (73 nucleotides) under Planctomycetia bacterium. RNAcentral's name for it is "tRNA-Met". It matches the Rfam family "tRNA". From Rfam's summary of the family: Transfer RNA (tRNA) molecules are approximately 80 nucleotides in length. Their secondary structure includes four short double-helical elements and three loops (D, anti-codon, and T loops). Lineage: Bacteria; Pseudomonadati; Planctomycetota; Planctomycetia. The record is from RNAcentral.